UACGGAGGGUCCAAGCGUUAUCCGGAAUCAUUGGGUUUAAAGGGUCCGUAGGCGGUUUUGUAAGUCAGUGGUGAAAGCCCAUCGCUCAACGGUGGAACGGCCAUUGAUACUGCAAGACUUGAAUUAUUAGGAAGUAACUAGAAUAUGUAGUGUAACGGUGAAAUGCUUAGAUAUUACAUGGAAUACCAAUUGCGAAGGCAGGUUACUACUAAUACAUUGACGCUGAUGGACGAAAGCGUGGGGAGCGAACAGG
This 253-nucleotide ribosomal RNA is filed under the name uncultured bacterium. RNAcentral's name for it is "partial 16S ribosomal RNA". It matches the Rfam family "Bacterial small subunit ribosomal RNA", at positions 524 to 776 of the family's 1533-position model. The record is from RNAcentral.